RNAcentral lists this ribosomal RNA (460 nucleotides) under uncultured bacterium. RNAcentral describes it as "partial 16S ribosomal RNA". It matches the Rfam family "Bacterial small subunit ribosomal RNA", at positions 338 to 795 of the family's 1533-position model. The record is from RNAcentral.
CCUACGGGAGGCAGCAGUGAGGAAUAUUGGUCAAUGGCCGGAAGGCUGAACCAGCCAUGCCGCGUGAAGGGCAGAGCCCUACGGGCGUUAAACUUCUUUUGUGCGGGAGCAAUAAUGGUCACGUGUGGCCAGACGAGAGUACCGUACGAAUAAGCAGCGGCUAACUCCGUGCCAGCAGCCGCGGUAAUACGGGGGAUGCAAGCGUUAGCCGGAAUUAGUGGGGUUAAAGGGUGCGUAGGCUGUGAGGUAAGUCAGCGGGGGAAUUCCCCCGCUCAACGGGGUGAAGUGCAAGUGAUACUGGCUGGCUGGAGUGCGGAUGCCGUGGGAGGAAUGUGUGGUGUAGCGGUGAAAUGCAUAGAUAUCACACAGAACACCGAUUGCGAAGGCAUCUCACGAAUCCGCGAUUGACGCUGAUGCACGAAAGCGUGGGUAUCAAACAGGAUUAGAUACCCCUGUAGUC